ACGCUCGACACCUACGGGAGGCGGCAGUGGGGAAUAUUGCACAAUGGGGGAAACCCUGAUGCAGCGACGCCGCGUGGAGGAAGAAGGUCUUCGGAUUGUAAACUCCUGUUGUUGGGGAAAAAGAGGAUGGUACCCAACAAGGAAGUGACGGCUAACUACGUGCCAGAAGCCGCGGUAAUCUGAGCGGGCUGGCAAGGC
RNAcentral lists this ribosomal RNA (198 nucleotides) under uncultured bacterium. RNAcentral describes it as "partial 16S ribosomal RNA". It matches the Rfam family "Bacterial small subunit ribosomal RNA", at positions 328 to 539 of the family's 1533-position model. The record is from RNAcentral.